GAUGAACGCUGGCGGCGUGCUUAACACAUGCAAGUCGAACGAAGCACUUUAUUUGAUUUCCUUCGGGACUGAUUAUUUUGUGACUGAGUGGCGGACGGGUGAGUAACGCGUGGGUAACCUGCCUUGUACAGGGGGAUAACAGUUGGAAACGGCUGCUAAUACCGCAUAAGCGCACAGCAUCGCAUGAUGCAGUGUGAAAAACUCCGGUGGUAUAAGAUGGACCCGCGUUGGAUUAGCUAGUUGGUGAGGUAACGGCCCACCAAGGCGACGAUCCAUAGCCGAGCUGGGAGGCGGACCGGCCACAUUGGGGCUAAGACACGGCCCAAACUCCUACGGGAGGCAGGAGUGGGGAAUAUUGCACGAUGGGCGAAAGCCUGAUGCAGCGACGCCGCGUGAGCGAAGAAGUAGUUCGGUAUGUAAAGCUCUAUCAGCAGGGAAGAUAAUGACGGUACCUGACUAAGAAGCACCGGCUAAAUACGUG
This 481-nucleotide ribosomal RNA is filed under the name uncultured bacterium. Its description in RNAcentral is "partial 16S ribosomal RNA". It matches the Rfam family "Bacterial small subunit ribosomal RNA", at positions 28 to 507 of the family's 1533-position model. The record is from RNAcentral.